CAGGUAUGUCAAAACCCAGGACCAGACUUCAGAGAAACCUCCAUGGAAAUGCUAAAUGUUCUAUGGUAGGCUACGGACCACAAUUACACAAUGCAUCGUGAAGCAGAGUUGUUGGAAGAAGAAGUUAGAACCCUGAUAAAACGUAAAACGUUCAUCGCAAGAACCAAAGAAGAAACAGCGCGAGCAGCUUUGCAGCGCAGACACGAUGUUCAAGUCCACCCAAACCGCCACAACUCAAGAAGAACUCGACAUGGACGACACCCAAUGAGGAGCAACACGGAGAGACCUCGACAAGACCUAUAUUAGCCUUUUGAAAUAAUUCAUUAUUCAAUUCUUUUUGUAAAUAUAUUUCAUCCAAAUUACCCCUACUCUACCACCAAAUGUUAUAUUGUGCCUGAUUAAAGAAUGUCAUUUUCUAUAUUA
Scophthalmus maximus (turbot) is the source of this 423-nucleotide long non-coding RNA. RefSeq lists it as uncharacterized. The transcript is spliced from 2 exons. NCBI's taxonomy places the organism in Eukaryota, Metazoa, Chordata, Actinopteri, Pleuronectiformes, Scophthalmidae. The record is from RefSeq and is a predicted model, not a curated record.